GAGCCCGCGUUCCAUUAGCUAGUUGGUGAGGUAAAAGCUUACCAAGGCGACGAUGGGUAGCCGACCUGAGAGGGUGAUCGGCCACACUGGAACUGAGACACGGUCCAGACUCCUACGGGAGGCAGCAGUGGGGAAUAUUGCGCAAUGGACGAAAGUCUGACGCAGCGACGCCGCGUGGAGGAUGAAGGUUUUCGGAUCGUAAACUCCUGUCAAGAGGGAAGAAACCUGUUGAGAAUAAUACUCUCAGCAAUUGACGGUACCUCUAGAGGAAGCACCGGCUAAUUCAGUGCCAGCAGCCGCGGUAAUACUGAAGGUGCAAGCGUUAAUCGGAAUCACUGGGCGUAAAGCGCUCGUAGGUGGCUUUGUAAGUCAGAUGUGAAAGCCCAGGGCUCAACCCUGGAAUUGCAUUUGAUACUGCAUCGCUAGAGUAUAGGAGAGGGAAGUGGAAUUUCUGGUGUAGGAGUGAAAUCCGUAGAGAUCAGAAGGAACACCCGUGGCGAAGGCGACUUCCUGGACUAUUACUGACACUGAGGAGCGAAAGCGUGGGGAGCAAACAGGAUUAGAUACCCUGGUAGUCCACGCCGUAAACGAUGGAUACUAGGUGUCGGGG
RNAcentral lists this ribosomal RNA (610 nucleotides) under uncultured bacterium. RNAcentral's name for it is "bacterial SSU rRNA". It matches the Rfam family "Bacterial small subunit ribosomal RNA", at positions 227 to 828 of the family's 1533-position model. The record is from RNAcentral.